AAUGAUCACCUCUUGACAGGUCCAGAUCUGACCAACACAUUAGUUGGAGUGCUGUGUCGAUUUAGAAAGGGUCCAAUAGCCAUAAUGUGUGACAUUGAAAGGAUGUUUCAUCAGUUUCAUGUUGCAAAGGAACAUCAAGACUAUCUGCGAUUUCUCUGGUGGGAUGAUGGCAAUCUAGAUUCCAAACUUUCAGUUUAUAGAAUGAAGGUACACCUUUUUGGGGCAGCUUCAUCCCCCGGCUGCUCCAACUUUGGACUCAAGUACCUAGCAUCGCAGGGUCAUGGAAAGUUUAGUGAAGAGGCCAUCAAAUUUAUCCAGAGAAGCUUUUAUGUAGAUGAUGGCUUAACAAGCGUGGAGUCAUCUGCCGAAGCAGUACAUCUUGUGAAGGAGGCAAGAGCCUUGUGUAAAACCGGAAACCUUAGACUCCACAAGUUUGUGUGCAAUGAUAAGGAAGUGAUUUCCACAGUACCACCUGAGGAAUGUGCUCAGACCAAAGAUCUCGAUAUGGCCUUGGGAGAGCUUCACAUCGAGCGAGCACUAGGAGUUCAGUGGUGCGUUGAAGCGGAUGAAUUCCAAUUCAGAGUUGUAGUCAAGAAAAAUCCACUCACAAGAAGAGGAGUUCUCUCAACGGUGGCCUCUGUCUUUGAUCCGCUAGGUUUCGUUGCACCUUUUCUAUUAGUUGGUAAGCAGAUUCUUCAGGAACUGUGUAAAGAUAAAGUAAGCUGGGAUGAAGAUCUCCCCAAGCACAUUCUACCACGGUGGGAGUCGUGGCUUCGUGACUUACCUCACUUGGCUGUCCUGAAGAUUCCAAGAAGCUAUCUACCAUUAAAUUUUGACGAGGUUGUUUCUUAUGAGCUUCACAACUUUGCUGAUGCCAGUUUCACCGGAUACGGAACAUGUUCAUAUCUCAGAGCAGUGAGUGAAACAGGGCAGAUCAGUUGCUCACUUGUCAUUGGGAAGGCUAGAGUAGCCCCUACAAAGCUUAUGACUAUACCAAGGCUUGAAUUAUCGGCAUCUGUGACUUCAGUCCGUAAUGGAGAUGUUGCCAAAAGGGAACUAGAGAUUGAACACUUGCAAGAGUAUUACUGGACUGACUCUAGAGUAGUCCUUGGCUAUGUGAACAACGAUGCCAAGAGAUUUCACACAUUCGUAGCCAACCGAAUACAACGCAUAAGGUCUAGUACGUGCCCUAAACAAUGGCGACAUGUUAAUUCCGAAAACAACCCGGCCGAUCAUGCCUCGAGAGGACUUAGUGCAGCUCAGCUGAAAGAUUCAAACUGGC
RNAcentral lists this long non-coding RNA (1282 nucleotides) under Carassius auratus (goldfish). RNAcentral's name for it is "lncRNA (ENSCARG00000018380.1)". Lineage: Eukaryota; Metazoa; Chordata; Actinopteri; Cypriniformes; Cyprinidae. The record is from RNAcentral.